This 127-nucleotide ribosomal RNA is filed under the name Pelobates cultripes (western spadefoot toad). RNAcentral's name for it is "SSU_rRNA_eukarya". Lineage: Eukaryota; Metazoa; Chordata; Amphibia; Anura; Pelobatidae. The record is from RNAcentral.
AUAACAAUACAGGACUCUUUCGAGGCCCUGUAAUUGGAAUGAGUACACUUUAAAUCCUUUAACGAGGAUUGGAGGGCACGUCUGGUGCAGAGCGACUGACCCGUGCGUGCUGCAGCUGAAACUCCAC